This 497-nucleotide ribosomal RNA is filed under the name uncultured bacterium. Its description in RNAcentral is "partial 16S ribosomal RNA". It matches the Rfam family "Bacterial small subunit ribosomal RNA", at positions 28 to 507 of the family's 1533-position model. The record is from RNAcentral.
GAUGAACGCUGGCGGCGUGCCUAAUACAUGCAAGUCGAGCGAACAGACGAGGAGCUUGCUCCUCUGACGUUAGCGGCGGACGGGUGAGUAACACGUGGAUAACCUACCUAUAAGACUGGGAUAACUUCGGGAAACCGGAGCUAAUACCGGAUAAUAUAUUGAACCGCAUGGUUCAAUAGUGAAAGACGGUUUUGCUGUCACUUAUAGAUGGAUCCGCGCCGCAUUAGCUAGUUGGUAAGGUAACGGCUUACCAAGGCAACGAUGCGUAGCCGACCUGAGAGGGUGAUCGGCAACACUGCACAUAGGACUCGGACCAUACUCCUACGCCAGGCAGCAGUAGGGAGUCUACGUGAGAGUGUCAAAGCCGGACGGAGCACCGUCGGGUGAGGGCUGAAGGACUUCAUUCAGUAAACCCCUGUUAGUAGGGAAGAUAAAAUAUGUAAGUAUCUAUGCACGUCUUGACCGUACCCAAUCAGAAAGCCACGCCUAACUACGUG